ACACACUCUCUCUCUCUCUGUUGCUCCUCCGGUGCGUGCGCGCGUGUGUGUGCGGAGGCAUAUUGACUCCGCGCCUGUGGUCAGCCUCUUGUCCUAGGGGAGAAGUGAUGAUUCAGUGGUGAGAUGUGCCACCUUCCACCGAGUUAAAUUACGUCAACUUAUCGCCUCAUCUCCACUAUCCCGCACGACAGCUGGCGCGAUUCGCCUCGGAAAGAACACAGUGGAGUGGAGGAAGAGAGAGAGAGAGAGAGAGUUUUCCUAAAGACGCUAAGCAGGGUGCAGGUGGAUACCCAAGACUGCUCCAGAAUGAGGGCUUUAGGGAGGACGUGUUAGAUCUGUCCUUCGUCUGCGCCGCAACACUACAGAGGUGUCCAGAGGUGUCCUGAGGUGUCCAGAGGUGUCCUGACGUGUCCUGAGGUGUCCAGUCCUGUCAUGUCGUGGCUGCUGUGGCUGUGGGUGGGCGUGGCAGGGCUGUCACUCUCCCUGUGCCAGGCCACCUUCUACCACACCAUCAAGUAUCCGCACCUCACCCGCCCUGGACGCAACACCAUCCAGAUCAUAGAAGGCGGGACAUGCGAGGUGAUUGCUGCUCACAGGUGCUGCAACAAGAACAAGAUCGAGGAGCGAUCUCAGACCGUGAAGUGCUCUUGUCUCCCGGGGAAGGUGGCAGGGACCACACGCAACAAGCCUUCCUGCGUCGACGCCUCCAUUGUGAUUGGGAAGUGGUGGUGUGAGAUGGAGCCAUGCCUGGAGGGGGAGGAGUGCAAGACGCUGCCAGACAACUCAGGAUGGAUGUGUUACUCUGGCAACAAGAUCAAAACCACCCGGAACACCCAGCCUUACUCCUCUCUGUAGCUGGAGAAGCCAUAUUGAAACCGUCACAGCGAGAGCAACAUCCAACGGAUCAGCUGGUGUGAACCCACCCAAACACUCCCCCCUCCUGGAGACCUCCUCUCCUGGGAUCCUACCCCCUCUGCGACUAAUCAAGUGGGACAGGGUUUUUUUUUUGCGUGGAAGAACAUGGAUUACUCCGACCAUAAAGCAGUGCAGAGACUGAGGCGUGCGCCCGGCUGAGGAGAGACAUUUCCUCAUUUCCUGGAGCCCUGUGUCAGCCGAUGUCGUCCGUCAGAUGCUGCGAUGAUGGCCGAUAGUGCGGCCCUGCCUGUCCUCAGCUGCAGCAGUAGCACAACAGAGUUGUUGGAUUACCAAUCCCCUGCUCGACACUCGAGGUCAAUUCAGCAAAGACUAGCCGCAAGUCCACCCUCAGAACCUCUAUGGAUUUUAUUUUCAGACAUAACUGGUGUGACCCCUUUCCCCAUUUUAGACUGCAGCGUUGGCUGAACACAUGUACUCUACCUGAGGGAAAUAGGGACAGGUGAACACAUGUACUCUACUCUACCUGAGGGAAAUAGGGACAGGUGAACACAUGUACUCUACCUGAGGGAAAUAGGGACAGGUGAACACCUCUACUCUACCUGAGGGAAAUAGGGACAGGUGAACCGCAAAGAAUAAGUCGGAUUGGUCAUGUGACUUCUAGCUGUCUCAGCCAUCUGUAUAUAAUCAUCACAUCAUAUUAUUGUAUUAAUAGGCCAUCUGUAUAUAAUCAUCACAUCAUUAUUGUAUUAAUAGGCCAUCUGUAUAUAAUCAUUACAUCAUUAUUGUAUUAAUAGGCCAUCUGUAUAUAAUCAUUACAUCAUUAUUGUAUUAAUAGGCCAUCUGUAUAUAAUCAUUACAUCAUUAUUGUAUUAAUAGGCCAUCUGUAUAUAAUCAUCACAUCAUUAUUGUAUUAAUAGGCCAUCUGUAUAUAAUCAUUAC
This is an RNA transcript of Alosa sapidissima (American shad), 1815 nucleotides long. It is a transcript of the gene named chemokine-like protein TAFA-1, with no coding region annotated. The transcript has 7 exons. NCBI's taxonomy places the organism in Eukaryota, Metazoa, Chordata, Actinopteri, Clupeiformes, Clupeidae. The record is from RefSeq and is a predicted model, not a curated record.